GAUGAACGCUAGCGGCAGGCUUAACACAUGCAAGUCGAGGGGUAGAAAUAGCUUGCUAUUUUGAGACCGGCGCACGGGUGCGUAACGCGUAUGCAAUCUGCCUUUUACAGGGGAAUAGCCCAGAGAAAUUUGGAUUAAUGCCCCAUAGCACUGCAGGACGGCAUCGUCCAGCAGUUAAAGUCACAACGGUAAAAGAUGAGCAUGCGUCCCAUUAGCUAGUUGGUAAGGUAACGGCUUACCAAGGCGAUGAUGGGUAGGGGUUCUGAGAGGGAGAUCCCCCACACUGGUACUGAGACACGGACCAG
RNAcentral lists this ribosomal RNA (305 nucleotides) under uncultured bacterium. RNAcentral describes it as "bacterial SSU rRNA". It matches the Rfam family "Bacterial small subunit ribosomal RNA", at positions 28 to 334 of the family's 1533-position model. The record is from RNAcentral.